RNAcentral lists this ribosomal RNA (482 nucleotides) under uncultured bacterium. RNAcentral describes it as "partial 16S ribosomal RNA". It matches the Rfam family "Bacterial small subunit ribosomal RNA", at positions 30 to 507 of the family's 1533-position model. The record is from RNAcentral.
AUUGAACGCUGGCGGCAUGCCUUACACAUGCAAGUCGAACGGUAACGGGCCUUCGGGUGCCGCCGAGUGGCGAACGGGGGAGUAAUACAUCGGAACGUGCCCGAUCGUGGGGGAUAACGAGGCGAAAGCUUUGCUAAUACCGCAUACGAUCUACGGAUGAAAGCAGGGGACCGCAAGGCCUUGCGCGGACGGAGCGGCCGAUGGCAGAUUAGGUAGUUGGUGGGAUAAAAGCUUACCAAGCCGACGAUCUGUAGCUGGUCUGAGAGGAUGAUCAGCCACACUGGGACUGAGACACGGCCCAGACUCCUACGGGAGGCAGCAGUGGGGAAUUUUGGACAAUGGGCGCAAGCCUGAUCCAGCCAUGCCGCGUGCAGGAUGAAGGCCUUCGGGUUGUAAACUGCUUUUGUACGGAACGAAAAGCCUUCUUUUAAUACAGGAGGGUCAUGACGGUACCGUAAGAAUAAGCACCGGCUAACUACGUG